UGAGUGUGUGUUUUUCACUUGAGGUCCUCUU
Molecule: non-coding RNA, 31 nt
Filed under: Mus musculus (house mouse)
Lineage: Eukaryota; Metazoa; Chordata; Mammalia; Rodentia; Muridae
Source: RNAcentral